This 470-nucleotide ribosomal RNA is filed under the name uncultured organism. RNAcentral describes it as "partial 16S ribosomal RNA". It matches the Rfam family "Bacterial small subunit ribosomal RNA", at positions 334 to 796 of the family's 1533-position model. The record is from RNAcentral.
CACUCCUGCGGGAGGCAGCAGUGGGGAAUUUUGGACAAUGGGCGAAAGCCUGAUCCAGCAAUGCCGCGUGAGUGAAGAAGGCCUUCGGGUUGUAAAGCUCUUUUGUCAGGGAAGAAACGGUGAGAGCUAAUAUCUUUUGCUAAUGACGGUACCUGAAGAAUAAGCACCGGCUAACUACGUGCCAGCAGCCGCGGUAAUACGUAGGGUGCAAGCGUUAAUCGGAAUUACUGGGCGUAAAGCGUGCGCAGGCGGUUUUGUAAGUCUGAUGUGAAAUCCCCGGGCUCAACCUGGGAAUUGCAUUGGAGACUGCAAGGCUAGAAUCUGGCAGAGGGGGGUAGAAUUCCACGUGUAGCAGUGAAAUGCGUAGAUAUGUGGAGGAACACCGAUGGCGAAGGCAGCCCCCUGGGUCAAGAUUGACGCUCAUGCACGAAAGCGUGGGGAGCAAACAGGAUUAGAAACCCGUGUAGUCC